Molecule: RNA transcript, 5754 nt
Organism: Panicum virgatum (switchgrass)
Lineage: Eukaryota; Viridiplantae; Streptophyta; Magnoliopsida; Poales; Poaceae
Exons: 9
Source: RefSeq, a predicted model, not a curated record
GUUGAAACUACUUUUAGAUAAGCAAUGGGACAGUCGAGUUCAAGGGUGUCACCUUUUUUUUCAUAUGAUGCAAAGGGUUCACACGCGCCACCAACUCAACUGAAAUAUUUGAUAUUUAUAUAUACGCAACUAAUAGACAGCACCACCCUUAAAAUCAAGUCUUAUAGAUACAUAAUUAAUCCCUAGAGAUACAUAAAUAUUUGAAACUAAUGCUAAAGUUCUUAAAGUAUUUUUUUUUGUAAUAUAUACUCCCUCCAUAUCCUAUGAAAAGUGCAAUCCCGUGUUGGAAAAAAAAUCCCACAAAGAGAGCAAUCUUAGAUAUUGGAUCUCAACUACCUAUCUAAUUAAUUGAUUAGAUCGAUAUGCAUACCAAAACUAACAGCAUGUGGCAAACAAAUGAGGGUAUAAAAAUCUUUUCGGUGCAACACUAAUCUAUCUGGAAAAAAUAGAAUUAUUUUUAGACGUAUUUAUAAAUGAAUUAGAAUAGAAUUAUUUUAUGGAUCGCAUAUGUAGUAUAUGUAUGCAUACGAAUCGGUGGAUAAUUUGCACGUUAGUUAUAUACGUAGACCGGAAUACUUAUAUGUUGUAGUUGAAUUUCGUACAUAGUUUGUAUAGAUUAUUGAAUAAUGUAGUGAAAUAAAGAGUAUGACUGCAUAAGUAUUCGUUGAUGCACAGAUAUAUCGAGCAAGAUGUAGUUUCAAGUUUUUUUUGGUGACUACAGUGUUUUGUAUGGACCAAAUAGAGUAGAUUUGUCAGCAUUUAACUGCACAUCUAGCGGUAUAGAUAAACCUCUAGAGAGGAGUUUCGGAUCCAUAUACAAGUGGCUGCAGCGUGGUUUCCGGGUUGAUCCGGAGACCCAUCUGAUGACCGUGCACGGUCUUGUGAAUUGGGUGGUAGACGGUGAGCAAUGGGAAUUGAUGAUGAUACACAACACUGCAGAGUGGCAGAAGUACAUGCAAGCAGCUCUAGAGCGUGGGUGGCCUCUGGCCAUUCUUGUUCAGACUCGAGAGAAGCCACAACCGCAAACCCAACAUGGUGAAGAUAAAGCCACUACGAGUAGACAAGGAGACCCCAAUUAUGUUGAGGAAGAUGAGUCAGAACAGAUAGAGAACCAAAACAUCGAAUCACAGGGUCUUGCUCACGAGGGAGAGAGGAUACAAAGCAUCGUGGAGGAGAUGGAGGCAGAAGACCAAGCCGCAAUGGACAUGGAAGAAGAUGACUGGUCAUCUGAUGAUGAGCAGUACGCAUUGCCAAAAGAGUGGAAAGAGUAUGGUUUUGGCAAUCCUGUGGUAGUGGACGUACGUCAUCAGGAAUGGGAGUACAGAGGGAAUGAGGUAGUGCAGGGUGCUACAUAUCCCACCAUUGAUGCUGUGAAAGAUGCUGUGAAACUCUGGGCAGUAUCUCUAAAGAGAGAAUUCAGAGUCGUGAAGUCUGGCCGAAAAGAAUACGAGGUGAAGUGUGUGAAUGAUGGUUGUCCAUGGCGUGUGCACGCAUUCAAGGGCAAAUGGAAAUCCAAUUGGAAAUGUUCUAUUGUGACAGAGCAUACUUGUUUCACGUCCGAAGUUCAGCCUUCGCAUCGCAAUGUAUCAUCUAAGUUUGUUGUAAAGCAUAUUUAUGGGUUGAUUAUGGACAACCUUAAUUAUGAGCCAAAAAUGAUUGUUCGAUACAUUGAACAAACUUACCAGUACAACAUUGGUUAUAUGAAGGCAUGGCGGGCCAAACAAAAGGUGUUUGAGAUGCGGUUUGGCACGUACGAGGCAUCCUAUGAUAACCUACCUCAAAUGUUAUCCUAUGUUGUUGCUAGAAACCCUGGAAGUUUCUAUGACACUUACCUCGUGCCAACCGUGAGGAGGGGACAAAGCUUUCUGCUUCGAGCCUUCUUUUGCCUAGGUGCAUGUGUGAGAGCUUUUCAGUAUUGUCUUCUGGUUUUAUGCAUUGAUGGGACAUUUUUGACUGGAAGGUACAAAGGGCAGAUACUCACCGCAAUCGGGGUAGACUGCAACCACCAAAUAGUACCGGUCGCCUUUGCAUUUGUUGAGAAUGAGAACACAGAAAGUUGGUAUUGGUUCCUUGAACGAGUGAAGAUUCAUGUUGUUGCUGCCCGUCCAGAUGUGUGCCUUAUAAGUGAUAGGCACGCAGGUCUGCUACAAGCAAUUAUGAAAUUACAAGUCGGAAAUGGAACAACGUCUCCAUUAUGGCCAGAUGUGCAAAACAGGUGGUGCAUUAGGCAUAUAGGUGUAAACUUCUUUGACCACUUCAAGAACAAGGAACUAAAGGACUUGUUCAAGAGGUUGUGCACUCAGAAUCAGCAGAGAAAAUUUAAUGCUUUGUGGUAGAUGCUUGAUCAUCUAACUGCGGAGCAAGUGAAGGCAAGGGCAGCAGGAACCAGCAAUAGCCAGUCUGCAGAUGCAACGGCUUCUUUGGAGAAGCCAUUUUCGCACUGGAUUCGAGGUGCACCGAAGGAGAAAUGGUCAUUCCUUUAUGAUACAAACAGAAUGCGGUACGAUAUCCAGACAACAAACCACGCAGAGUGUUUCAAUAUGGUUAUGCGAUGUUGUCGUGGCUUUCCUCUCAUGGGAAUUGUUGAGUUCAUCAUGUAUGGAUGCAUGAAGUAUUUUAGAGAGCGAUACAUGGCUGCAACCAUAAACAAGAGCAACCCCCAAAUUCAGUUUUGCACAAGAGUGACACAAUAUAUGCAAGACAAGAUAGCAAAGGCCAGACAGCACCGCGUCCUAUCGACGGGUACAAGGGAGCAUAGAUUUGAGGUGCUAUGCAAGGAUAGAACUGGUCGUGGCAUCCGUAGAGAUAGGGUGGUGCAAGAAAGUUUAAUUAGAGCAGAUGGCACUGCCCGCUGCACCUGCAUGAAGCCAAAGUUAUUGCAUUUGCCCUGUUCGCACGUCAUUGCCGUUUGUGCAGAAUCUGGGUUGCAGCCAGGAGUAUUUGUGUCACCCUAUUUCAGCAAGGAGGCAGCUACAUCCACUUGGGGACAUGAAAUAUACGGGAUUGGCAUAGUUGGACCCUUUAUUACGGACCGGGAGGUUAAGACUUAUGUUCCUAAUCCAGCCGCUAAGAAAGGCAAAGGCCGUCGUCAGACGCAUCGUAUAAGAAAUGGUAUGGACGAGUCCGAGUCAAGCAAGGCACAAAAGCGUUGCAGCCAAUGUGGAGCAUUGGGUCACAACUACAAAAGGUGUCCUCAGAAUGCAAUUCAUGGUGAUGCAGACGCUGGUCCUUCUGGAAAUCCAACAGAUGGAGCACCUCCUACGUUCAGACCAUCAUUGCCGAGAAUUACUCGUGGAAGGCACUCGGUGUCGUGAUUCAAGGCAUUGUAAGUUCAUUCUGUCGACUCGGUGCUGUUGCUUGGUGGCACAAUCCAAAACAUAUAAGGCGUUAUAUUGUUGAAUGUGUUUCUAUACGUAUGUUUACCUUUGUACUAAUCGUGCAACCCUAUUUGAAUGUUUUAAUGCAGGUAUGGGCUUGUUGCUAGACCCUGUUAUCGACACGAGCCACCGGUCUUUCGCCGCAGCAGUUCAGCGCCGAGCCCUUGAAGUGCUAUGACCGCGUCCACCAGGAGAGGUCAUCUCUAUACACCAAGAUUGGGUUGCAAGGUUACGUGAGUGCGGUCUACUGACUCUGGGCCAUCUUAUGGAGGGUGGGAUUGUGAAGCUCGACCGAUCCCUCCUGACGGCGCUAGUGGAUAGAUGGAGGCCGGAGACUCACACGUUCCACCUCCCAUGUGGGGAGAUGACUCCGAUGCUGCAGGACGUGGCCUACCUACUGGGUCUCCCUAUCAUCGGUGAUGCCGUAGGUCCGCGCGUGGUGCCGGCUUCGUGGAAGGAUGGCCUGGAGGAGCGCUUUGCUCCGGUACAGCGCGUGGCAGCAGCAGGACCGAUCAACCCGCACCUGCGAGCCGCAGGUCCUUCGAAGACCUGGUUGCUACAAUUUACACCUACCCAAUUGGAUGCGGAUGCGGACGAGUAUAGUGUGACCAGAUCGCUGGAGGCGUACCUGCUAUGGUUAUUUGGUUACAUUAUAUUCAACAACACCCAUGGCAACUCCAUCGACAGGAUCCUACUUCCGUACGCACGAGAGAUUAUGGAUGCAGAGGAUGACUUACCGCCCUAUAGCUGGGGUUCGGCGGUAUCGGCGGCCACCUACCGUGGACUCUGCGACGGGUGCAGUAAGACCGAUGGUGAGGCUAUUCUCUCGGGGUGCCCACUCCUGCUUCAGAUUUGGUCGUACGAGAGGAUAGUGGUUGGUCGCCCUAUCGUGAGCCAGGAGCCAUACCACGACAUCGUGUACGGCGAUGAUGAGGAGGGUUGGCCCACGAUGGGUACCCUCUAGAACUGGCGUCAGAGAUCUUGGGCGCAUGCCCAGGUUAGACGCGCAUAUCCUGAGUUCGUGUCGGAGCUGGAUAUGCUGACGCCAGAGGACGUUAUCUGGGAGCCAUACACCCCAGAGGCGGUGGCGACACGUGCACCUUUAGGCUUGUCUCCACACUGCUCUGCGAAUGCGGGCAUGUGGCUUACUACAGCCGUCGUUGUUUACGACAUCGCGGUUGAGGCGUAUUGCCCGCACAGAGUCAUGAGACAGUUUGGACAGCGACAGGAGUUUCCAGUGGCCACGGCUUUGGACCGAGUCGAUUGGCACAACCAUAGGUUGUCGAGGAGUAGCAUGCCGUGCUCAGCCGUUUGGCUCACCAUGAUGUAGCCGUGGUUGGAGCAAUGUGACGAUGCAGAUGAGAACGUGGUCGAGCCGACGGGACCACACACAGACAGCUCUUUCAGGGCUUACCUCACCUGGUACUUGCCUCGGACCCGGGCUCGUUUGGUCUUUCCUGACACGAACCCGCAGCCACACCAGGCGAGUCUUCGGGAUGGCUACGCCUAGCACCACGUGGAGGCACUAGCUGGAGCGUUUCGACUUUGUAACAUGAUGGAGGCGAACUGCUCUGCUUACCUGACGAGGGUGGAUCACGGUUCCCCUAUGACCUAGGUUGAGCAGAGAGAUGCAUGAUCCAGACACCGUGACCACUUGCGUAUAGUACUUCAUGAUUUCGGUAGCCGUGUGGACUAUGAAGAGAGGCAAGGAUCGUCCCAGGCCUCGACGUCCUUCCCGUGUCCGGCGAUGACGCACGAGCCAACCUCCCAGCCAGAUCAGGGACACCAGUGGAACACUACUGCAGGAUUCGGUCCCUCUUCUUCCUUCGGCCAUACUGGCCAUUGGGGCCAACAAGGAUCCCACUUCGUCCCACAGCAGGGGAUGGGAAUGUUUGGAGGGACACCGCCAGUUGGGGGACCGUACCCAGGGAUGGGACCGCCGCCAUCAACACUAGCCUACCCAGGAUUCUAUCCAGAUGCGGGCGUCGGACCUUCUUCCUCAUCACAACCUGGGUUCGUCUCAAACACGUUCGUUCUAGAUAGCGGUGGCUUCAACUUAGAAGACCUCGACAACUUCACUUCCCACUCACCCACGGAGCAAGGUGACCCCGAUGUCUUGGGCUCUUCACAGCUAGGAGGAGCACCACUUGGUUACUCUCAGCAGCAGACACCGCAUCCUUCUUUGCGUCCUCAGCGACAACUGAGGUCUCUAGAUCGUCACACCUACUCGCAGGGCCAUGUCCAUGCCCAGCAGAGGGCGAAGAGGGUCCGACACCGUCGGGGUGGCUAGAUAUGACUUAUGUUUGUAUCUCGUAUGUUUCUUUGUAAUGACAUAGUGGCCAAACAUUUAUGUCUUAUGGUAGCAACGAUGUUGUCU